UACGAAUGGAGCAAGCGUUGUUCGGAUUUACUGGGCGUAAAGGGCGCGUAGGCGGUUUGUUAAGUUGGAAGUGAAAGCCCCGGGCUUAACUCGGGAAUUGCUUUCAAGACUGGCAGACUGGAGUGUGGAAGAGGUUGGUGGAAUUCCCAGUGUAGAGGUGAAAUUCGUAGAUAUUGGGAAGAACAUCCGUGGCGAAGGCGGCCAACUGGUCCAUAACUGACGCUGAGGCGCGAAAGCGUGGGGAGCAAACAGG
Molecule: ribosomal RNA, 253 nt
Filed under: uncultured bacterium
Lineage: Bacteria
Description: partial 16S ribosomal RNA
Rfam family: Bacterial small subunit ribosomal RNA
Source: RNAcentral